UUAAAAGGAAAACAUAGUUUAAUGAUUGCUACAAAGUUUCAUCUAGAAGCAAUCUCAUGGCCUUCCUCUACUUUUCUUUGCUGGAGGGGAAGUGAUAUAGGGACAAUGUCCUCGGGACACUCUACCGCGGAUGGGCAGCCCGCGCCUCCCAUGGCUGCCGCGGGAUGACACAUUGUGGACCCUGGUGUCAGUUGUUGUGGUUGCAGUGAUUUGGCUGGUGGGUUGAGG
Molecule: non-coding RNA, 228 nt
Organism: Pelobates cultripes (western spadefoot toad)
Lineage: Eukaryota; Metazoa; Chordata; Amphibia; Anura; Pelobatidae
Source: the annotation of a GenBank genome assembly